Molecule: ribosomal RNA, 467 nt
Filed under: uncultured bacterium
Lineage: Bacteria
Description: partial 16S ribosomal RNA
Rfam family: Bacterial small subunit ribosomal RNA
Source: RNAcentral
UGGGGAAUUUUGGACAAUGGGCGAAAGCCUGAUCCAGCAAUGCCGCGUGUGUGAAGAAGGCCUUCGGGUUGUAAAGCACUUUUGUCCGGAAAGAAAUCCUUGGCUCUAAUACAGUCGGGGGAUGACGGUACCGGAAGAAUAAGCACCGGCUAACUACGUGCCAGCAGCCGCGGUAAUACGUAGGGUGCAAGCGUUAAUCGGAAUUACUGGGCGUAAAGCGUGCGCAGGCGGUUUGCUAAGACCGAUGUGAAAUCCCCGGGCUCAACCUGGGAACUGCAUUGGUGACUGGCAGGCUAGAGUAUGGCAGAGGGGGGUAGAAUUCCACGUGUAGCAGUGAAAUGCGUAGAGAUGUGGAGGAAUACCGAUGGCGAAGGCAGCCCCUGGGCCAAUACUGACGCUCAUGCACGAAAGCGUGGGGAGCAAACAGGAUUAGAUACCCUGGUAGUCCACGCCCUAAAAUGAUGAUC